UCCGCCCGGGGACUACGAGCAUUAGCUUAAAACCCAAAGGACUUGGCGGUGCUUUACCCCCCACUAGAGGAGCCUGUUCUAGAACUGAUAACCCCCGUUGAACCUCACCAUCCCUCGUUUAACCCGCCUAUAUACCGCCGUCGUCAGCUUACCCUGUGAAGGCCAAAUAGUAAGCAAAAAUGGCUAAGCCAAAAACGUCAGGUCGAGGUGUAGUGAAUGGGAUGGGAAGAAAUGGGCUACAUUCUCUGCCA
RNAcentral lists this ribosomal RNA (251 nucleotides) under Merluccius merluccius (European hake). Its description in RNAcentral is "partial 12S ribosomal RNA". It matches the Rfam family "Bacterial small subunit ribosomal RNA", at positions 868 to 1239 of the family's 1533-position model. The record is from RNAcentral. Lineage: Eukaryota; Metazoa; Chordata; Actinopteri; Gadiformes; Merlucciidae.